RNAcentral lists this ribosomal RNA (253 nucleotides) under uncultured bacterium. RNAcentral describes it as "partial 16S ribosomal RNA". It matches the Rfam family "Bacterial small subunit ribosomal RNA", at positions 524 to 776 of the family's 1533-position model. The record is from RNAcentral.
UACGAAGGGGGCUAGCGUUGUUCGGAAUUACUGGGCGUAAAGCGCGCGCAGGCGGUCUUCCAAGUCAGUGGUGAAAGCCCGGAGCUCAACUCCGGAAUUGCCUUUAAGACUGCAUCGCUAGAAUCAUGGAGAGGUGAGUGGAAUUCCGAGUGUAGAGGUGAAAUUCGUAGAUAUUCGGAAGAACACCAGUGGCGAAGGCGACUCACUGGACAUGUAUUGACGCUGAGGUGCGAGAGCGUGGGGAGCGAACCGG